This 1485-nucleotide long non-coding RNA is filed under the name Marmota monax (woodchuck). The record is from RNAcentral. Lineage: Eukaryota; Metazoa; Chordata; Mammalia; Rodentia; Sciuridae.
UUUAAAUGUUUAACUUAGUGGUAGCACUCUAUAGAGUCAUCCCAGAAUUAUAAUGAAUACUUUUCCGCAAUCAUAUUUAAAUUUAAUGCUUUCCUAUAAUAGAGAUGGUUUGUCUUUUUUUGUGUGUGUGGGUGGCGCUGUGGAUGAAAUCCAGGGCCUUGUGCAUGCAAGGCAAGGACUCUACCAACUGAGCUACAUCCCCAACCUGUUGCCUUAUUAUGCCGACACGUAUUAGCACCUUGAAACCUUUGAUUAAAGCAAAUUAAAACUCCUUUACUAUGGUCAUCCGUAACACAGUCAACAAGAGAUACCCAAGAUGAGUCCCUGUGGAAAACUCUUAAUAAUCUAGACUAUAAUUUUGUAUUUUUUAAUAGAUAAGUCCAUCUCAUUUGAAAAUUGGUGGGGAUGUAGCUUAGUGGUAGAACACUUGCUAACAAUUGCAAGGUCCUAUCUUUGAUCCGUAGCAGCAUACACAACAAGAAAAUUACCUAGGUGCAGUGGCGCAUAUCUGUAGUAUCAGUGACUCUGGAGGAGGAUCACAAGUUGGAGGCCAAUCUAGGCAAUUUAGCAAGACCCUACCUCAAAAUAAACAGGGCUAAGGACGUAGUUCAGUAGUAGAGUGUUCCCGGGUUCAAUCCCAAGUACCAUCAAAAGAAAGAAAAUUGUCUUAACCUUUCAGUUUGGCUUCUCAUAAUCUUCACUUGUUAAUUAUGCUUUCCUUAAGCUGCUUCCUCAGAGAUCUCAAAAUUCCACAUAAUCAUCAAAUUUGGUUACUCUUGGCCCUUAACUAUCUGACUUGUUUCAGCUUUUGCUGCUGCUGAUUGUUCAUUUCUUCCUGAAUCUUUCAUCUAUCUUAACCUCUAUGAUAUUGCACUACCUUAACCCUAUUGUUUUCUCCGGGCUAUUCCUUUUAAUUCCUCUGAUGGCUUCUUUUUCUCUAACCCCUUGUGUGUAAUUUAGAUUUUGUCAUCCCUUUUAUAUUCUCUCCUCUAAUGCUUUCAUCUGCUUUAAUAAUUAUGUAACUAAUUCCCAAAUUCAGUUAAAUUCAUCGAAUAUUUUUUGAGCACCUACUUCAUGCCAUAUACUCUGCUUAUCAUCAGGGGAAAAAAAUAAAGAAAUGAUACAGGUUUUGCCCUCAAGUACUUUAUAAUCAUUUUGGCUGAGCACAUCUUUAACCUGUUUGAGUUUUAGAUUAUAUAAUUUCUGUCUUCUUCCUGAACUUCAGUGCAACAAUAUCCUUAAGCACUUUAAACUCUAUGUGAAUAAAUAAUCUUCUCCCAUCUUCAAAAUCUAAUUCAAAAACUUGUUUCUUGUCCUCUGAAUUCCAGCCCAAACUACAUACAUUUCUAUGUAGUUAUGCCAUUUUCUGUUUUUGUUGUUAUCGUUUUAUGGUGUGGAGAAUCAAGCCCAAGGCUUUGGGCAUGCUAGACCUAAAGUACUCUACCACUGAAUUGUAUCUCUAGUCCCCUGCCACUUAUUUUUUUG